GAUGAACGCUGGCGGCGUGCCUAAUACAUGCAAGUCGAGCGAACGGACGAGAAGCUUGCGUCUCUGAUGUUAGCGGCGGACGGGUGAGUAACACGUGGAUAACCUACCUAUAAGACUGGGAUAACUUCGGGAAACCGUAGCUAAUACCGGAUAAUAUUUUGAACCGCAGGGUUCAAAAGUGAAAGACGGUCUUGCUGUCACUUAUAGAUGGAUCCGCGCUGCAUUAGCUAGUUGGUAAGGUAACGGCUUACCAAGGCAACGAUGCAUAGCCGACCUGAGAGGGUGAUCGGCCACACUGGAACUGAGACACGGUCCAGACUCCUACGGGAGGCAGCAGUAGGGAAUAUUCCGCAAUGGGCGAAAGCCUGACGCAGCCACGCCGCGUGAGUGAUGAAGGUCUUCGGAUCGUAAAGCUCUGUUAUUAGGGAAGAACAUAUGUGUAAGUAACUGUGCACAUCUUGACGGUACCCAAUCAGAAAGCCACGGCUAACUACGUG
RNAcentral lists this ribosomal RNA (497 nucleotides) under uncultured bacterium. Its description in RNAcentral is "partial 16S ribosomal RNA". It matches the Rfam family "Bacterial small subunit ribosomal RNA", at positions 28 to 507 of the family's 1533-position model. The record is from RNAcentral.